RNAcentral lists this ribosomal RNA (228 nucleotides) under uncultured bacterium. Its description in RNAcentral is "partial 16S ribosomal RNA". It matches the Rfam family "Bacterial small subunit ribosomal RNA", at positions 568 to 795 of the family's 1533-position model. The record is from RNAcentral.
UGCGUAGGCGGGUUGAUAAGUCAGUGGUGAAAGGCUACCGCUCAACGGUAGAAUUGCCAUUGAUACUGUCAAUCUUGAAUACAGUCGAGGUGGGCGGAAUGUAACGUGUAGCGGUGAAAUGCUUAGAUAUGUUACAGAACACCAAUUGCGAAGGCAGCUUGCUAGACUGUUAUUGACGCUGAGGCACGAAAGCGUGGGUAGCGAACAGGAUUAGAUACCCUGGUAGUC